CAAACAAGUUAAAGCUUUAUGUUAGCUAGCUAGCUGAUGUUAGAUGACUGGCUUGCCAUCUAACAUUAUGUGUAUGACCUGUGUGUAGUGAUAUCUCAGAAUCUCAUUUGGUAUCUAUAGUCAAAUAAUCCUAAAAUAUUUGUACCUGGAAUUUGUCAUUCGGCAUCAGUAGAACACGCCUGACUCUCCUCCACCGGUCAUACAAGGAGAAUGGUCUGAUGCCUCCCAUCAAAAAGAGAGCUGGCCCAAGCAAGCACAGGUUACACCUGAAGCAUGAGGACUUGCAGCGAGUGGUGAACUUUAUCAACAACUAUGCAGAGGAAAAUGCAAUAGUAUUACCAGGACGUCACCCACACAAACACUUAGGUGGAAAGCUGCUGCCAUCCCAUGUGAAAGUGCAGCAGUGUGGCGUCUGUACAAUGAAUCAUUGACAACACUUGGCUGCCUUCCUUCAGGAAUCUGUGGAAAAAAUUGCUGCCCCACAUCUCAAGCACUAAGCUCAGCACAGACCUGUGCUGGCAGUGCCAGAGGAACAACUAUCAGGUCUUCAGAUCUGCCAAUCUGCCAGAAGAUGUUAAGUCAGCCAAGCUGAAGAAGCAAGAGCAGCAAGAGCAGCAUCUCCUGCUUGUUCAGAGUGAGUGGUCUGUCUACCAGAAGACGGUUGCUGACCGCACCUGUCAAGACCUGCAGUUACCUCUGGGGGCCCUACUGAACCAGCAAGCAAAGACAUCAGGAUGCAUUACAGCUUUGAUUUUGUUCAACAAGUCCACUAGCCUGCAGCCAGGUCCCAUCUACUUCUUUACUCCUCGGAAGUGUGGUGUCUGCUGUGAAGGAAUACCACAUAAGUCAACUACUUGAUUGAUGAAGGCAUGUUGUCCAGCAAAGUGAAGGACAGCACUCUGACAGGGGUCAACAUCCCACAGCUGGUUGGACUGGAGGAUGGUACGGUGCUGGUGGAAAGCCAUAGCUGAAAACAACACCUGACUCUCUACUUCAGGCCGCUGCUACAGAUCAAACAGUACCAGCACUUCACGUGAAUAUCAUUGUCAUUGCAUUGUAUGAGGUUAUUCUUCUUCUUAUCUAAACUUGUGAGGUGAAUUGAUUUUGUGCAAAGUUGUAAUGACUUCUCAAUUUAUUUAGUUAUUUCCUGUUUUACAGCUUUGAUGCUCUGGAGCCUGGUGUUGUCGGCAAGGAGCGUUCGGACUCAGUCAGGACCAGGUUUCAGCAGCUGUGCAACACUGACAUCCUUCCUCCCAUAGAUGGUCUGCCGGUUUAUUAAUAUAAGGAUUUUGAAAUUAUUUUUUAUUUUAAUUUUGAAACUUAAGUAAAUUUUAUUAAUUCCAUUUACUUUUGAUACUUAAGUAUUUUUAACACAAAAUACUUUUAGACUUUUUCUCAAGUAGUAUUUUAACGGGUGACUUUCACUUGAGUCAUUUUCUUUUAAAGCUAUCUUUACUUUUACUGAAGUAUGACAAUUUUGUACUUUUUACACCAUUGGAUUUGGCUGGGGGUUAUAGCAUUUCUUUCACAUGACCCAUCAAUUUAGAUAAAAGCAUCAUCUAAUAUUUAUAAAAUAUUUUUCUAUAGACUACUACUUUUACAAUUUUUUUGUCUUAAUCUUCUCUACACUACUCACUGUUUAGCACAUGACCUCACAUGUGAAUCCUUAAGGAGGUGCGUGGGGUUGGCUUAAGAGGGUGUGAACAUUGCUGAAUGGGUGUAGACAAAGGAGAGCUCCCCAGUAGGUACCAAAACAUUCAAAGGCCAUUUUCUCAAAAGUGAGCUUACAAGUUUGUCAUCUUUCAAAUACAUUAUUCCUCAAAAAUGCAGUGUAUGAUAUACCAUUUUGUAGCUCUGAGUCUCUGCUUUUAUCCAAUGUAAAAAACAAUUUAAAAUUUAGCUACAUAAGACCGACCGGCUCAAAGCGAUCUUAUGUGGCAAGUAGGCUAUGUCCUCCAAUAUAGUUUUACAGUGUGUGCUUGGGCCUACCAAUCAACAGGAUAUAAAACCUUCCUGUUUUCUGUUCUUUAUUUUAGAGCUGACCUUUCCACUACUUCUCACAAUGAGCAGAUUUGCUCAGUUAGUGUUUUCCCUCAUACACUGUCUUGUUAUACUUGGUACUGUCUCACUAUGCUCCCUACUGUCUAUCUUUCACUUAUGCCAAUUAAUGGUGUCCUGUUUAAUCCGCUGCAUUAUUUAUUUUAUUUUACCUUUAUUUAACUAGGCAAGUCAGUUGAGAACAAAUUCUUAUUUUCAAUGACGGCCUAGGAACAGUGGGUUAACUGCCUUGUUCAGGGGCAGAACGACAGAUUUGUACCUUGUUAGCUCAGAGAUUUGUACCUUGUUAGCUCAGAGACGCUACGCUGCACAACAUUGCUCUAUAGUUCAGAGAUGAUUUUAUUGCAUGUUUUUCUGCUAUCCGUUUUAAACUGAUGUCUGUUGGAAAUCAAACCAAAUUGGGGUAGAGUUGCAGUGCACGAUAGGUGUGAGUCCUGUGCGUCUGUCUGUGCACACUGUCUGUCUAUAUCGAGGAGGGCCCUGUCUGUAUUAUGUUAGUGUUUCCUGUGGCUGCUGGCUGCUGGCUUUACACUGAGCCAUGGAGCCUGCAGACCUGGUCUUCAGAAAAGGUUAGCAAAGGGUCAACGCUUUUUUCACUUUGCUCUAGUGCAGCAAAUGAAUACCUUCUCUCUCUACACACACAGGGACACACAUGGAUGGACGGACACACACACACAGACACACACACACACCAAUACUAACACGAAUCAUUGGAUUUUCAAAUAAAAUAUUCCCUGAGUCAGUAGCUAUCUGGCGACACGUUUCAAUGGUCAUUGUUAAAUCUAGUCGACGAGCUAACCGAAUAUUCUCAAGGUUAUAGAUCCACACACAGGCGUCCACACGCUGAGGGCUCUAGACAUUACUGGUGUCUGUGUGCCAUAUGGUGUCUCUAGAGGUGGGGGUCAGCAGGUGAGUACAGACAGACGGACAGAUGCCCCUGUAGGGGAUCUAGACUGUUGGGCUUGUGGAGGAUAGAGCAUAUUACCCUCUAGCCCACACAGUUAUAUUCAACUCAAAUGUCUGCAUAAAGACAGGCAGCAGUAGGGCAUAUUCUCACUUCAAGAAUACAGUACGCUGUUGGCAACAACAGAAAAAAUCCUAGUCUCAAAACAAAUAUAUGUGAUAAUGAGAGGCAAGUAAGGCGCUAUGGAAGAAAAAAAACGCCCACUCACCAAAUACAAAUAGAUCUAUCACAGUAACCCCCAGGUAUUGUAUUCACACUUCUCUGCUUAUCUGCUGCGUCUAUAUGGGUGACAUUGCACCAUUUUGUUUUUCUGUUAAAAUCUUUUUUUUUUUCACCCCCCCCUGUUCUGUGACUUGUUGUUGAAGUGUUGUUGGAACCUGUUUCUCCUCUUUUCUCUCUCGCACUCUCUGUCGGCUAGAAGGUGAUACGUGGGUGGAUUGAUGUGAUAUACAGUAGUGCUUGUGCUCAGUUGCUCAUUGCGUUGACAACAGCCUUGUCAGUCUGAUGGCUCUCUCUUCUGCAAGCUCCAAAACCUCUAUGACUACAUUCUGUUAGCUCUAUGACUUGGUACAGGAGAGGGGUGAUCUGAGGGAAAUUGGAUUUCAUGGAUGUGAACUUUGUAUAACUUAGCUGUAGUGAUUCAAUGAAUGUACAUUUGCCUAUAUGGUAUAUGCGGCAUCAGAAUGAUUUAACUUGAAUUCUACGUUUUAGUCAAGGAUAGGUAAUCGCAAGCCUCAUAGACGGAACCUUAUGGACUGCAUGUCUGACUGGCAUCACUAGUGAAAUAUCACUGCCAUUGUUCUGAGUUCGUAUUGAGUGACACAAAUUGUUUGCAUGGCUAAUAUUUUGUACUUCUGCUUGGCCAUCUGUGCGUGUGUGUGUGUUUCCCUUCUCUUUUAUUGCAUGUUGCUGAUCUCUGUCAAGUGACUACAUGGCCUUUUAUUUCUGGUGUCUGGUUUCAAUACCGCAACAUAAUAACAUGUUUGGGACAGAGAGUGGAGGAGAGCAUAAGAGAG
This is a long non-coding RNA of Oncorhynchus keta (chum salmon), 4038 nucleotides long. RefSeq lists it as uncharacterized. The transcript has 3 exons. Lineage: Eukaryota; Metazoa; Chordata; Actinopteri; Salmoniformes; Salmonidae. The record is from RefSeq and is a predicted model, not a curated record.